GAUGGUAUAGCUCAACUGGUAGAGCAGCGGUCUUUUAAAUCGAAGGUUGUGGGUUCGAGUCCCACUGCCGUCA
This 73-nucleotide transfer RNA is filed under the name Ktedonobacteraceae bacterium. Its description in RNAcentral is "tRNA-Lys". It matches the Rfam family "tRNA". Rfam says of the family: Transfer RNA (tRNA) molecules are approximately 80 nucleotides in length. The record is from RNAcentral. Lineage: Bacteria; Bacillati; Chloroflexota; Ktedonobacteria; Ktedonobacterales; Ktedonobacteraceae.